UCUCCGUUGGUGAACCAGCGGAGGGAUCAUUACCGAGUGCAAACUCAUAACCCUUUGUGAACCUAUAUCUGUUGCUUCGGCGGCUCGCUCUCGGGCGAGCCCGCCGGUAAUAUCAGUAUCUCUGUUUGAACCCGACGAUACUUCUGAGUGUUCUUAGCGAACAGUUAAAACUUUCAACAACGGAUCUCUUGGCUCUA
Molecule: unclassified non-coding RNA, 197 nt
Filed under: plant metagenome
Description: partial contains small subunit ribosomal RNA, internal transcribed spacer 1, and 5.8S ribosomal RNA
Source: RNAcentral